CGCGAAAACUCCACCAUGCGCGAAAGCGUGAUGGGGUUAACCCGAGUGCCGUCCGAUGAGGAUGGCUUUUCUUCAGUUUAAGGAUCUGGAGGAAUAAAGGGGGGGCAAGACUGGUGUCAGCCGCCGCGGUAAUACCAGCCCCCUGAGUGGUAGGGACGAUUAUUUGGCCUAAAGCGUCCGUAGCCUGUUUGGGAAGUCUUUCGUUAAAUCCGACGAUUCCAUCGUUGGGACGCGGAAGAUACUGCCAGACUUGACGACGGGAGAGGUCGACGGUAGUCCUAGGGUAGGGGUGAAAUCCUAUAAUCCUAGGAGGACCACCAGUGGCGAAGGCGGUCGACUAGAACGUGCCUGACGGUGAUGGACGAAAGCUGGGGGAGCGAACCGGAUUAGACACCCGGGUAGUCCCAGCUGUAAACGAUGCGAGCUAGGUGUUGGAGCAACUACGAGUUGCUCCAGUGCCGCAGAGAAGUUGUUAAGCUCGCCGCCUGGGAAGUACGGCCGCAAGGCUGAAACUUAAAGGAAUUGGCGGGGGAGCAC
Molecule: ribosomal RNA, 537 nt
Filed under: uncultured archaeon
Lineage: Archaea
Description: bacterial SSU rRNA
Rfam family: Archaeal small subunit ribosomal RNA
Source: RNAcentral